Molecule: non-coding RNA, 660 nt
Organism: Paramuricea clavata
Lineage: Eukaryota; Metazoa; Cnidaria; Anthozoa; Malacalcyonacea; Plexauridae
Source: the annotation of a GenBank genome assembly
GUUGAGGUAGUGAGGCGGUGGUGGCGAUGGUGGUGAAGGUGGCGGUGGUAGCGAGCCAAUAGUAUUUGUGAUAUAUAAUGGUUGUUUUAAUAUUAAUAAUAUUAAUAUUAAUAAUAUUACUCUAAAAAAUAAAAUUUGCAGGAUAGUACAAAUACAAUAUAUAUGCAGCAGUAGCAGUUGAGGUAGUGAGGCGGUGGUGGCGAUGGUGGCGGUGGUGGCAAAGGUGGCGGUGGUAGCAAGCCAAUAGUAUUUGUGAUAUAUAAUGGUUGUUUUAAUAUUAAUAUUACUCUAAAAAAAUAAAAUUUGCAGGAUAGUACAAAUACAAUAUAUAUAUGCAGCAGUAGCAGUUGAGGUAGUGAGGCGGUGGUGGCGAUGGUGGCGAAGGUGACGGUGGUAGCAAGCCAAUAGUAUUUGUGAUAUAUAAUGGUUGUUUUGAUAUUAAUAAUAUUGCUCUAAAAAAAUAAAAUUUGCAGGAUAGUACAAUAUAUAUGCAGCAGUAGCAGUUGAGGUAGUGAGGCGGUGGUGGCAGUGGUGGCGAUGGUGGCGGUGGUGGCGGUGGUAGCAAGCCAAUAAUAUUUGUGAUAUAUAAUGGUUGUUUUAAUAUUAAUAAUAUUACUCUAAAAAAAUAAAAUUUGCAGGAUAGUACAAUAUAUAUGCAGC